RNAcentral lists this ribosomal RNA (356 nucleotides) under uncultured bacterium. RNAcentral's name for it is "partial 16S ribosomal RNA". It matches the Rfam family "Bacterial small subunit ribosomal RNA", at positions 338 to 691 of the family's 1533-position model. The record is from RNAcentral.
GCUACGGGAGGCAGCAGUGAGGAAUAUUGGUCAAUGGGCGCGAGCCUGACCCAGCCAAGUAGCGUGAAGGAUGACUGCCCUACGGGUUGUAAACUUCUUUUAUAAAGGAAUCAAGUGAGGCAAGUGUGCCUUUUUGUAUGUACUUUAUGAAUAAGGAUCGGCUAACUCCGUGCCAGCAGCCGCGGUAAUACGGGGGAUACGAGCGAUAUACGGAUUGAUUGGGUUUAACGGGAGCGUAGAUGGGUGGUUAAGUCAUUGGUGAAAGUGUGCGGCUUAACCGUAAAAUUGCAAUUGCGACUGGCAGUCAUGAGGACAGUUGAGGUAGGCGGAAUUCGUGGUGUGGCGGGGAAAUGCUU